This 603-nucleotide ribosomal RNA is filed under the name uncultured fungus. RNAcentral's name for it is "eukaryotic LSU rRNA". It matches the Rfam family "Eukaryotic large subunit ribosomal RNA", at positions 23 to 641 of the family's 3401-position model. Lineage: Eukaryota; Fungi. The record is from RNAcentral.
ACCCGCUGAACUUAAGCAUAUCAAUAAGCGGAGGAAAAGAAACCAGCAGGGAUUGCCCUAGUAACGGCGAGUGAAGCGGCAACAGCUCAAAUUUGAAAUCUGGCUCUUUUAGAGUCCGAGUUGUAAUUUGCAGAGGGCGCUUUGGCUUUGGCAGCGGUCCAAGUUCCUUGGAACAGGACGUCACAGAGGGUGAGAAUCCCGUACGUGGUCGCUGGCUAUUGCCGUGUAAAGCCCCUUCGACGAGUCGAGUUGUUUGGGAAUGCAGCUCUAAAUGGGAGGUACAUUUCUUCUAAAGCUAAAUAUUGGCCAGAGACCGAUAGCGCACAAGUAGAGUGAUCGAAAGAUGAAAAGCACUUUGGAAAGAGAGUCAAACAGCACGUGAAAUUGUUGAAAGGGAAGCGCUUGCAGCCAGACUUGCUUACAGUUGCUCAUCCGGGCUUUUGCCCGGUGCACUCUUCUGUAGGCAGGCCAGCAUCAGUUUGGGCGGUAGGAUAAAGGUCUCUGUCACGUACCUCUCUUCGGGGAGGCCUUAUAGGGGAGACGACAUACUACCAGCCUGGACUGAGGUCCGCGCAUCUGCUAGGAUGCUGGCGUAAUGGCUGU